CUCCCCAUGCUUCCAAUCCAUGGGACUCACUGGUAUGUUCUCGAUUCCUGUGCCGUUGCUUAUCCCAGGAUAUCAUUUGAGUGGAAUCAGCAGAAUAUGUAGAGAAUAAAAGUUUCAACUGGGGCCAAGAAAGGAGUAAUUUCUUGAUGGUGGCAAGACUGGACAAGAUAUGCAGAUAGCCAGAAUACAGAUAAAGUAAUUGAAGGUUCCCGAAAUCCUGCUCCUAGCUCCGCUAUGGGAAGUGGGGCUAAUCUUCAUGUGUCCACCAAGCUGCCUUGAAUCAGGAUCACAGUUGCGUCAGGAACAUCAGUCCUUGCCUUUCUACACCCUGCCAUGAAAAGUGUCUCUUAUUUGGGCCUCAUGAUGUUACUUCAGUACACUAUUAGCACUGUGACAAGAAGAGCUUGUUCUUUCUGAAGAAGUAUCACUUACAAUUUUGAGAUGAUUUGCCAGUUAAAGUCACAAUUACUAUUCUCUAAACUGACAGAGAAGUGAUCUGCUGAAUGUUAACUGAUAAGAACCUAUCUUCUAACAUACAUGAAUCAUAAAAAGCAAGAAAAAAAAAUCAAUUUCUGAACUUCCCUUUACCGGUUUUCCUUGAUCUAUAUAUACAGACCAAAAUAAUAUUCAGAAAUUCUGGAAGGUC
Macaca mulatta (Rhesus monkey) is the source of this 646-nucleotide non-coding RNA. Lineage: Eukaryota; Metazoa; Chordata; Mammalia; Primates; Cercopithecidae. The record is from RefSeq and is a predicted model, not a curated record.